AAGUCGUAACAAGGUUUCCGUAGGUGAACCUGCGGAAGGAUCAUUAUUGAAUUAUGUUUCUAGAUGGGUUGUAGCUGGCUCUUUGGAGCAUGUGCACGCCUGUUUGGAUUUCAUUUUCAUCCACCUGUGCACCUAUUGUAGUCUUUGGUUUGGGUAUUGAGAAAGUGGUCAGCCUAUCAGCAUUUGCUGGAUAUGAGGAGUUUGCAGUGUGAAAGCAUUGCUGUCCUUUACUUGGCCAUGGAGUCUUUUGCCUGCCAGAGUCUAUGUCAUUCAUUAUACCCUGUCGAAUGUUAUCGAAUGUCUUUACAUGGGCUUUCAUGCCUAUGAAAAUUAUAAUACAACUUUCAGCAACGGAUCUCUUGGCUCUC
RNAcentral lists this unclassified non-coding RNA (368 nucleotides) under Agaricus andrewii. RNAcentral's name for it is "partial internal transcribed spacer region". The stretch from base 1 to 46 matches the Rfam family "Eukaryotic small subunit ribosomal RNA", at positions 1786 to 1831 of the family's 1831-position model. Lineage: Eukaryota; Fungi; Basidiomycota; Agaricomycetes; Agaricales; Agaricaceae. The record is from RNAcentral.